RNAcentral lists this long non-coding RNA (834 nucleotides) under Sarcophilus harrisii (Tasmanian devil). RNAcentral describes it as "lncRNA (ENSSHAG00000023918.1)". The record is from RNAcentral. Lineage: Eukaryota; Metazoa; Chordata; Mammalia; Dasyuromorphia; Dasyuridae.
UAGCAGCCAAGGCAGAUAGAUUCCCUUAGGGAAAGUUUGGGGUUUACCUACCUCCACCCUCCCCUCGCCUUCACGUCUCCUCCUUUAGCCUCCCAGGGCUCCAGGCCCAACCCGCCCCAGGUGAUGCAAGGUGCCCCCCAGCCCCGCCCCUUCUUGCCCUUCCCCUGCCCGGCCCUCCCAACUUUGCGCUCUGCAGCCCAGAUCGCGUCCUGGCUCCGGGCGCGCGGGGGAACCCUGAGAGCUUGCGGAGAGCCGCCAGGAGGGGGACCGAGGAGCCGCAGAGAGGGGCGUAGAGAUACUCUUGGAGUUCCUGAAUCUAUUCUCUGAUACUUUAAAGAGGAACAAUCACCCUUGGAGAAUAACAUCUACUGAGAGUUGAGAUGCAAACUUAGGGUAAGAGGGAGAAUAAUACACUAAGUUUUUCCUUUGUGGUUCCCUAAAUAUUUUGGGGUUUUGACAUAUAAAUGUGCCCAAUCUAUAUUGUAAUUGACUCUUAGCAAUUGAUGAAGAUUUUUUUCACUGAGUGAAUUGUUUACAGCAAUGAAAUUAAAGUUCAGUUGUUUUGUUUCCUUAAGAAAUAAGGAGUGUAUGUGUGUAUGUAUAUGUGUGUGUGUAGAGAAAGACAUCAGGAAUGAUAAUGGUAGGAAUUUAUAUCGGCCAACAGUUUACUUUACCUUAAUCUGAUCAUCAGCAAGCUUGAGUAGAUUAAUCAUCAAAAUAUUGACAGAUAUCUGUUGGGUAAUGGUGUGGUUGCUUAUAAUGAUGAAACCAUGACAACUUGUUUUUACACAGAUUAUGCUGCAUAUUAUGCAUGUGUUUAUAUGUGUGUGUGUA